UGGGGAAUUUUGGACAAUGGGCGCAAGCCUGAUCCAGCUAUUCCGCGUGUGGGAUGACGGCCCUCGGGUUGUAAACCACUUUAGUAGAGAACGAAAAGGAGCUAUCGAAUAAAUAGCUCUGCUGACGGUACUCUAAGAAUAAGCACCGGCUAACUACGUGCCAGCAGCCGCGGUAAUACGUAGGGUGCGAGCGUUAAUCGGAAUUACUGGGCGUAAAGGGUGUGCAGGCGGCUGAGUAAGACAGAUGUGAAAUCCCCGGGCUUAACCUGGGAACCGCAUAUGUGACUACUUGGCUAGAGUGCG
This 303-nucleotide ribosomal RNA is filed under the name uncultured bacterium. RNAcentral's name for it is "bacterial SSU rRNA". It matches the Rfam family "Bacterial small subunit ribosomal RNA", at positions 355 to 650 of the family's 1533-position model. The record is from RNAcentral.